RNAcentral lists this ribosomal RNA (598 nucleotides) under uncultured marine eukaryote. RNAcentral describes it as "SSU rRNA". It matches the Rfam family "Eukaryotic small subunit ribosomal RNA", at positions 617 to 1219 of the family's 1831-position model. The record is from RNAcentral.
GGUUAAAAAGCUCGUAGUUGGAUUUCUUCCAGGGGCAGUCGGUCCACACUACGUGUGCGUAUCUGAUUUGACUUUGGAAUCCUCUUGGGGAACAUCUCUGCGCUUAACUGCGUGGAAUGGUAUUCAAGACUUUUACUUUGAGGAAAUUAGAGUGUUCACGGCAGGCAAUCGCCCUGAAUACAUUAGCAUGGAAUAAUAAUAUAGGAUUUCGGUUCUAUUUUGUUGGUUUCUAGAGCUGAAAUAAUGAUUAAUAGGGACACUUGGGGGCAUUCGUAUUAUCACGUCAGAGGUGGAAUUCUUGGAUUGUGUUACGACGAACUACUGCGAAAGCAUUUGCCAAGGAUGUUUUCAUUGAUCAAGAACGAAAGUAAGGGGAUCGAAGACGCUUAGAUACCGUCGUAGUCUUUACCAUAAACUAUGCCAACUAGGGAUUGGAGGGCGUUCUUCAUUCGACUCCUUCAGCACCUUAUGAGAAAUCAAAGUCUUUGGGUUCCGGGGGGAGUAUGGUCGCAAGGCUGGAACUUAAAGGAAUUGACGGAAGGGCACCACCAGGAGUGGAGCCUGCGGCUUAAUUUGACUCAACAUGGGAAAACUCCCC